RNAcentral lists this ribosomal RNA (508 nucleotides) under uncultured bacterium. RNAcentral describes it as "partial 16S ribosomal RNA". It matches the Rfam family "Bacterial small subunit ribosomal RNA", at positions 30 to 523 of the family's 1533-position model. The record is from RNAcentral.
AUUGAACGCUGGCGGCAUGCCUUACACAUGCAAGUCGAACGGCAGCGGGGGAGAAGCUUGCUUUUCCUGCCGGCGAGUGGCGAACGGGUGAGUAAUACAUCGGAACGUGCCCUGUAGUGGGGGAUAACUAGUCGAAAGAUUAGCUAAUACCGCAUACGACCUGAGGGUGAAAGUGGGGGACCGCAAGGCCUCAUGCUAUAGGAGCGGCCGAUGUCUGAUUAGCUAGUUGGUGGGGUAAAGGCCUACCAAGGCGACGAUCAGUAGCUGGUCUGAGAGGACGAUCAGCCCCACUGGGACUGAGACACGGCCCAGACUCCUACGGGAGGAAGCAGUGGGGAAUUUUGGACAAUGGGCGAAAGCCUGAUCCAGCAAUGCCGCGUGUGUGAAGAAGGCCUUCGGGUUGUAAAGCACUUUUGUCCGGAAAGAAAUGGCUCUGGUUAAUACCUGGGGUCGAUGACGGUACCGGAAGAAUAAGGACCGGCUAACUACGUGCCAGCCGCCGCAGUAA